UACAAUUAGACCUGCUGUCAAAAGUCUACAAUUAAAGCAGAGUCCUUGUGCCACACGACUCCAGUUAGCAGCACGCUGAUAUUUUUAAGAUGCAUUUGCUACAACUUGGUCUUUAAAUUCACCACAAAGAAAGUGCAAUCCCAAAAGACUGGAACAUAAAUCCAGUUUUACGAGGGAUGUUGAGAGCCUUUUCCAGCAGCAUGUAGGCUGCUGUCAAUGUCACACAACCCCUAUUUACAUCCUGUGCGGUCCGCAGUCGUAUCCAGAAAGCGGUAUUUAGAGCAACGCUGAUUCCAGGAGGCCACAGCUCACCUGCUGCCUACCAAGAAGCUCUAAUAUACCUGGAGAAAGCGAUCUGUCAGCAUUCCAAUCCAUCUCAAUGGAAGCUGCUCAGCUCCACACCCCCCAAACCACAAAAGUCUGAUUUUAUUUAUUUAUUUAUUUAUUUUUAAGAAGACAUCAUGACUCUUUCUCUUUGUACCCUCAUAGAUUUAAACACCCUAUGGUGCUUUUCUCCUGUACAUCAGCUUUUUAAUUCAUAUUUCUGUUUGAAAUAAAAGCCUUUUUGGGGCAUGU
This is a long non-coding RNA of Carassius auratus (goldfish), 576 nucleotides long. RefSeq lists it as uncharacterized. The record is from RefSeq and is a predicted model, not a curated record. NCBI's taxonomy places the organism in Eukaryota, Metazoa, Chordata, Actinopteri, Cypriniformes, Cyprinidae. The transcript has 4 exons.